UCUCUCGUAGCUUAGUGGUCAGAGCGUUGGUGCAUAAAGCCGAAGGUCCUAGGUUCGAUUCCCGGCGGGGGUG
Molecule: transfer RNA, 73 nt
Filed under: Agrilus planipennis (emerald ash borer)
Lineage: Eukaryota; Metazoa; Arthropoda; Insecta; Coleoptera; Buprestidae
Rfam family: tRNA
About the family: Transfer RNA (tRNA) molecules are approximately 80 nucleotides in length. Their secondary structure includes four short double-helical elements and three loops (D, anti-codon, and T loops). Further hydrogen bonds mediate the characteristic L-shaped molecular structure. tRNAs have two regions of fundamental functional importance: the anti-codon, which is responsible for specific mRNA codon recognition, and the 3' end, to which the tRNAs corresponding amino acid is attached (by aminoacyl-tRNA synthetases). tRNAs cope with the degeneracy of the genetic code in two manners: having more than one tRNA (with a specific anti-codon) for a particular amino acid; and 'wobble' base-pairing, i.e. permitting non-standard base-pairing at the 3rd anti-codon position.
Source: Rfam by way of RNAcentral